RNAcentral lists this ribosomal RNA (883 nucleotides) under uncultured delta proteobacterium. Its description in RNAcentral is "bacterial SSU rRNA". It matches the Rfam family "Bacterial small subunit ribosomal RNA", at positions 28 to 895 of the family's 1533-position model. The record is from RNAcentral. Lineage: Bacteria; Deltaproteobacteria.
AACGAACGCUGGCGGCGCGCUUAACACAUGCAAGUCGAACGGUCCUGAUAGAGCCGUAAGGUGAUAUCGGGAUAGUGGCAAACGGGUGAGUAACACGUGGAUAAUCUACCCUUGAGUGGGGGGUAACUCUGCGAAAGUGGAGCUAAUACCGCGAAGACUACAGAAUCGCAUGAUUCAGUAGUAAAAGGCUCCGGUUUACCGGAGUCGCUCAGGGAUGAAUCCGCGCCUGAUUAGCUAGUUGGUAGGGUAACAGCCUACCAAGGCAACGAUCAGUAGCCGGCCUGAAAGGGUGUUCGGCCACAUUGGAAUUGAGAUACGGUCCAGACUCCUACGGGAGGCAGCAGUGGGGAAUCUUGCGCAAUGGGGGAAACCCUGACGCAGUGACGCCGCGUGAACGAUGAAGUCCUUCGGGAUGUAAAGUUCUGUUAGGCGGGAAGAACCCCUGAGAAAUCAGGGAUGACGGUACCGCCAGAGGAAGCACCGGCUAACUCCGUGCCAGCAGCCGCGGUAACACGGAGGGUGCAAGCGUUGUUCGGAAUUACUAGGCGUAAAGAGCGUGUAGGUGGUUAACUAAGUCGGAUGUGAAAAUUCCAAGCUCAACUUGGAACCUGCAUUCGAAACUGGUUAACUUGAGUGUAGGAGAGGAGAGCGGAAUUCCUAGUGUAGCGGUGAAAUGCGUAGAUAUUAGGAAGAACACCGGUGGCGAAGGCGGCUCUCUGGCCUAAAACUGACACUGAGACGCGAAAGCGUGGGUAGCGAACAGGAUUAGAUACCCUGGUAGUCCACGCCGUAAACGAUGGGCUUUAGGUGUAGGAGGUACCCAAUCCUUCUGUGCCGAAGUUAACGCAUUAAAUGCCCCGCCUGGGGAGACGACCGCAAGGUU